GGCCUCCUUCUCCAACCUUGAUGCUAAUCUUCUAGAGCCAAUAUCUCUCUUUUUCAUCAUUUGAUUGAUUUCAAAAUUCACAUAUACAUAGAAAAACAAGUCUAAUAUCUUUUCACAUAAAUUUCACUCUAAUCCAACUAGCAAAUUGUAAGAAAUCUUAAAAAUCCUUACUAAAUCUAAAAUUCUACUUUCUGAGACCUUAACCCACUUAAACCUCAAUAAUCCUCAAUUCAAUAGUUAGAUUGAGCUCAAAUUUAUAACACAUAUAGAAUACAAAUAUAACCAUUAAUCUACAAAAUUUCACCUAUAGAUCUAUUACAAAACACUUGAUAUCAUCCAAAAUAUA
RNAcentral lists this long non-coding RNA (346 nucleotides) under Physcomitrium patens. RNAcentral's name for it is "long non-coding RNA (PPAT_LNC009842)". The record is from RNAcentral. Lineage: Eukaryota; Viridiplantae; Streptophyta; Bryopsida; Funariales; Funariaceae.